Pelodiscus sinensis (Chinese soft-shelled turtle) is the source of this 1336-nucleotide non-coding RNA. NCBI's taxonomy places the organism in Eukaryota, Metazoa, Chordata, Testudines, Trionychidae. The record is from RefSeq and is a predicted model, not a curated record.
UUCAACAUGGUGGAGAGAAAGGCACCUCGUGGGCCACACUCAGCAUGGCGGCUGGCCCCAUUGUCGCGACCGCCACCCAGCAGAGCGAGAAAAGAGCGAGCCGCGCGGACUCGCACAAUCAACAUGGCGGAGAGCGGAGGCAUGGGGUAAAAUCUGUCCAAAGUAGUCAUGGCUCGAGAACGAAAAUGUAUACUGUGUCACAUUGUGUACAGUUCAAAGAAGGAGAUGGAUGAACACAUGAGAAGCAUGCUUCACCACAGAGAACUUGAAAACUUGAAAGGAAGAUUCCUUGGCUGCCUAUAAAGAAACUUCAGUUCAGAAACACAUCAACUCGGUGGGUGCGCAUAUUGCCGUAAUUCCAGGUGGACUGACCUGCAACUUGCUACUCCUUAAUGUGGCUGCCAACCACGUGUUCAAGUGCUUCCUCCAAGAGGAAUGGGACAAUUGGAUGACAAAUGGGGAACACACUUUCACUCCAGCAGGUCGACAGUGCCAUGCAACUUAUAUGGAAGUUUGUAAAUGGGUUUUGGCUGCUCGGGACAGAAUAAAAGAGGCUACUAUUCAGAAUGGGUUCUGUAAAUGUGAAAUUCUUCCCGACAUUGACUCGUCUAGCUCCGAAUCUGACUCCGACAGCGAUUCUGAUUCGGCACCACAGACCUCAACUGUCACCAUAACCAAGGCUAGGCGAGCUUCGGAUUGAACGGAUUUUUUCAAGACCGCGACAAUGCAAAAGUUUUGAUGGUUUUGAAAACUCAGAUACUGUGGAGGAGGAUGCUACCGCUGAUUCUAGUGAUGCAGAAGGAAUGAACUUAUGUAUUUUAUGACAGUGUGAGCAGAUGGCUUUUUAAAAACUGUUUUACCAUAUAUCUAUUCUUUUAUUAUUAGUUUCACAUUAAAGUUUUAACUUUUAAUGUAUUUUAACAUCACUGCCACUAUUAUUAAAUUAAAAUAUGCUGCUUUUAUCAAGUAAGAGUCAGUCUUGUCUUCCUGUAAUUUCAAUAAAAAAGAACUUGUAUAACACACGGAUAAGUAUAGCCCCCGGGGCAGGGAUUGUAAAACGUUUCAUAACGCACAGGUUAUAUACGCUAAAAGAUGGUAAGUAUUCCUGGCAAUUCACUGUUAGCAAAGUCAAGAGAGUGAGCUGGAUUCUAUACCUGCCUAUGCAUCAAUAAAAUUGUUAACCAACUUUGAGUUAGUUAAACUUGAGCUAAGCAACCGAAGGUGUAUAAUACAGUUGUUAUACACAGGGGUGGCCUGUGGAUGUAGGCAACCUCGGCAGUUUCCUAGGGAACCGCGUUUAACUCGACGCCCAAUGAUGACGUCACGCCAUUGAGGG